Molecule: ribosomal RNA, 440 nt
Filed under: uncultured bacterium
Lineage: Bacteria
Description: bacterial SSU rRNA
Rfam family: Bacterial small subunit ribosomal RNA
Source: RNAcentral
AACGCGAAGAACCUUACCAAGGCUUGACAUUUGGAGAAGCUUCUGAAAACAGAAGUGUGCCCGCAAGGGAACUCUAAAACAGGUGGUGCAUGGCUGUCGUCAGCUCGUGUCGUGAGAUGUUGGGUUAAGUCCCGCAACGAGCGCAACCCUUGUUGUUAGUUGCCAUCAGGUAAUGCUGGGCACUCUAGCGAGACUGCCGGUGACAAACCGGAGGAAGGUGGGGACGAUGUCAAGUCAUCAUGCCCUUUAUGCCUUGGGCUACACACGUGUUACAAUGGCUAGGACAAUGUGAUGCAAGACCGCGAGGUGGAGCGAAUCACCAAACCUAGUCUCAGUUCGGAUUGCAGGCUGCAACUUGCCUGCAUGAAGUCGGAAUCGCUAGUAAAUGCCGAUCAGCACGCGGCAUUGAAUACGUUCCCGGGCCUUGUACACACGGCUAC